UCUCAUUAGCCAUCCUUGUCAAUUUCAAAUUCAUCCAAUUAAAAAUCAAAUAAAAGUAAAGAUAUUUAUUAAUGCAAGAUCCACAAAAUGGAAAUAUCUUGAUUCCCCUCUUAGUGAAUGGAUGACAGCUAGCGGUGACCCUUCCAUCCAUACACGUCCCCACACAGCUGGCUCCCAACGGUCAUAAAAAAAAGAAAAGGAAAAGGAAACGAAUAGGAAAGGGGACCACACACCACACACCACACACCAUCUCCCUAACGGUAAAAGAAAGAAAAGAGGAUAGCUCUUCAAUCUCUCACUUUCUACAAAAAUAAAAAUAAAAAGAGUAGUGACCAUGUUACCUCUCUCCUCAUAUAACACUCAAUCUGCUCAUUAAAUAGAAGAGAGAAAAAAAGAUAUAUAAGUGACACUCCACUCACUCUCUCCUUGGAAAAAAAACAAAAGAAGGAAAAGAAAAAGAAAAUAAAAGACAGAAAAGUGUGAGAUUCAGAAGAAAAAGAAGAAGAAGGUUCCGCUCCCUUCAUCACCCUUCGGCGCACACACUCUCCGCCGAUAACUUCCGGUGACCUCUCCACUACCACCGUCGCACCCUCAUCCGCACGCUCUUCACCGUCCAACAAAUACUCCCUCUGCCGAAAUCCCUAGACGCUCCCAACAUCAUCUCCGACCUCCUUUUUCCAUCACCGAACCAAACCGUGCCGACGUCCAAACAAUUUCCGUUAUUUCCCUCUGCCUCCGAGACUCACAAACCG
Molecule: long non-coding RNA, 752 nt
Filed under: Lathyrus oleraceus (garden pea)
Lineage: Eukaryota; Viridiplantae; Streptophyta; Magnoliopsida; Fabales; Fabaceae
Description: Pisum sativum (pea) long non-coding RNA (PSAT_LNC010925)
Source: RNAcentral